UCUCAUGUUAUUGAAGGCAGUGCUUUGAAGGGAUAGCCUUCUCAAUUAAAUUACAUGAAAUAGUGUUGCAAUAUCAUGCAUAAACCUAAUUUCCUGUUUUUUAUUUGUCAUGUCUCAGGAAAACAUUCCGCACCACACCACUGCUGGUCAGUCAGCUGAGUGCAAGACACAUAGAUGGAGAGAGGAAAAUAUUUUGAAGGCGAGUUAGUCCCAUGAAGACAUAGUGGACUAAUUCAUGGACUAACUUUAACAUAGUGUACCUACUCAUGGACUAACUUUAACAUCGUGUACUAACUCAUGGACUAACUUUAACAUAGUGUACUAACUCAUGGACUAAUUUUAACAUAGUUCUACGUCUUAUAAUUUUCUCAAGGAAUUGAAUGCCUAUAACCAUUGAUAAUACACCACACUGACUAUCUCCUCAGAUGCAGUGGCAACCCAGUAUUGGACUGAAAUAGAGAGGAAUCGUUCGUCGGACACCCCAGACAGAGCAUCGGAGACGGACAUGAAAAAGCAAAGGCUGCGUUGCCAGAAGCAGGUUAUUGUAACGGCAGAUUUCCUCCUCUUCGUUUGAAGAGGAGUAAGGAUCGGACCAAGAUGCGGCGUGGCUUUGGCCAGUCGCCUAACAUUGCUUUCUGCUGAAGAGUGGCGACGAUUUGAGGGGGCAACUGAAGAAAUUCUGUCUGAUUUGGAGACGAACCCAGAAGACCUCAGUGCACGCUAUAGUUGACCUGAUUGCGUUGGCAGACCGGAGGAGAAGGGCCAAGCACUGUCAGAACAAAAACCGGAGCAACCGUCCACAUCCACUGCAGCCCUACCCAGAACCACAGACAAUCACCUGCACUCCCACUCACUCACCCACCCUUACACACACACACACACACACACACACACACACACACACACACACACACACACAAACAUACA
This is a long non-coding RNA of Oncorhynchus keta (chum salmon), 927 nucleotides long. RefSeq lists it as uncharacterized. The record is from RefSeq and is a predicted model, not a curated record. NCBI's taxonomy places the organism in Eukaryota, Metazoa, Chordata, Actinopteri, Salmoniformes, Salmonidae. The transcript has 2 exons.